This 374-nucleotide ribosomal RNA is filed under the name uncultured organism. RNAcentral's name for it is "partial 16S ribosomal RNA". It matches the Rfam family "Bacterial small subunit ribosomal RNA", at positions 527 to 896 of the family's 1533-position model. The record is from RNAcentral.
GUAGGUGGCAAGCGUUGUCCGGAAUUAUUGGGGCGUAAAGCGCGCGCAGGCGGUUCUUUAAGUCUGAUGUGAAAGCCCACGGGCUCAACCGUGGAGGGUCAUUGGAAACUGGAGAACUUGAGUACAGAAGAGGAAAGCGGAAUUCCACGUGUAGCGGUGAAAUGCGUAGAGAUGUGAGGAACACCAGUGGCGAAGGCGGCUUUCUGGUCUGUAACUGACGCUGAGGCGCGAAAGCGUGGGGAGCAAACAGGAUUAGAUACCCUGGUAGUCCACGCCGUAAACGAUGAGUGCUAAGUGUUAGGGGGGUUUCCGCCCCCUUAGUGCUGCAGCUAACGCAUUAAGCACUCCGCCUGGGGAGUACGGCCGCAAGGCUG